GACGAACGCUGGCGGCGUGCUUAACACAUGCAAGUCGAACGGUGAAGCGCCUUCCUUUUUGGUGGGUGUGGAUGAGUGGCGAACGGGUGAGUAACACGUGAGUAACCUGCCCCCUUCUUCUGGAUAACCGCAUGAAAGUGUGGCUAAUACGGGAUAUUCUGGGUCUGUCGCAUGAUGGGUCUGGGAAAGAUAUUGUUUCGGUGGGGGAUGGGCUCGCGGCCUAUCAGCUUGUUGGUGGGGUGAUGGCCUACGAAGGCGGUGACGGGUAGCCGGCCUGAGAGGGUGGACGGUCACACUGGGACUGAGACACGGCCCAGACUCCUACGGGGGGCAGCAGUGGGGAAUAUUGCACAAUGGGCGAAAGCCUGAUGCAGCGACGCCGCGUGAGGGAUGGAGGCCUUCGGGUUGUGAACCUCUUACGCCAGUGAAGCAGGCCUGCCUCGUUUGUGGGUGGGUUGACGGUAGCUGGAUAAGAAGCGCCGGCUAACUACGUG
This 494-nucleotide ribosomal RNA is filed under the name uncultured bacterium. RNAcentral's name for it is "partial 16S ribosomal RNA". It matches the Rfam family "Bacterial small subunit ribosomal RNA", at positions 28 to 507 of the family's 1533-position model. The record is from RNAcentral.